CGAGCGAACGGACGAGAAGCUUGCUUCUCUGAUGUUAGCGGCGGACGGGUGAGUAACACGUGGAUAACCUACCUAUAAGACUGGGAUAACUUCGGGAAACCGGAGCUAAUACCGGAUAAUAUUUUGAACCGCAUGGUUCAAAAGUGAAAGACGGUCUUGCUGUCACUUAUAGAUGGAUCCGCGCUGCAUUAGCUAGUUGGUAAGGUAACGGCUUACCAAGGCAACGAUGCAUAGCCGACCUGAGAGGGUGAUCGGCCACACUGGAACUGAGACACGGUCCAGACUCCUACGGGAGGCAGCAGUAGGGAAUCUUCCGCAAUGGGCGAAAGCCUGACGGAGCAACGCCGCGUGAGUGAUGAAGGUCUUCGGAUCGUAAAACUCUGUUAUUAGGGAAGAACAUAUGUGUAAGUAACUGUGCACAUCUUGACGGUACCUAAUCAGAAAGCCACGGCUAACUACGUGCCAGCAGCCGCGGUAAUACGUAGGUGGCAAGCGUUAUCCGGAAUUAUUGGGCGUAAAGCGCGCGUAGGCGGUUUUUUAAGUCUGAUGUGAAAGCCCACGGCUCAACCGUGGAGGGUCAUUGGAAACUGGAAAACUUGAGUGCAGAAGAGGAAAGUGGAAUUCCAUGUGUAGCGGUGAAUGCGCAGAGAUAUGGAG
Molecule: ribosomal RNA, 657 nt
Filed under: uncultured Staphylococcus sp.
Lineage: Bacteria; Bacillati; Bacillota; Bacilli; Caryophanales; Staphylococcaceae
Description: bacterial SSU rRNA
Rfam family: Bacterial small subunit ribosomal RNA
Source: RNAcentral